CGGGAUGUAGCUCAGUCUGGAUUAGAGUGCACGCUUGGGGUGCGUGAGGUCGCUGGUUCGAAUCCAGUCAUCCCGA
RNAcentral lists this transfer RNA (76 nucleotides) under Acidobacteriota bacterium. RNAcentral's name for it is "Acidobacteria bacterium (activated sludge metagenome) tRNA-Pro". It matches the Rfam family "tRNA". Rfam says of the family: Transfer RNA (tRNA) molecules are approximately 80 nucleotides in length. Their secondary structure includes four short double-helical elements and three loops (D, anti-codon, and T loops). RNAcentral also lists the same sequence under 1 other name. The record is from RNAcentral. Lineage: Bacteria; Pseudomonadati; Acidobacteriota.